RNAcentral lists this long non-coding RNA (486 nucleotides) under Brassica napus (rape). RNAcentral describes it as "long non-coding RNA (BNAP_LNC013278)". Lineage: Eukaryota; Viridiplantae; Streptophyta; Magnoliopsida; Brassicales; Brassicaceae. The record is from RNAcentral.
CUCUUGACCCACUAGAAUAAAAGCCUUCCUUUACUCAACCAAAUGAUUUGGACCAAUUGACCAUUUGCAAGAAUUCACUUAAUGUUUUAUGCUUAAUGAAUGUGAGAGUUGGUUGAUUUGAAUGUGUGGAUGUUUGAUGAUGAGUAUAAGGGCAAAAGGAGUUGAGAUAGGCCUAGAGAAGCUAGAGUGUAAUAAGAGAGUGUGCUCAGGUUGGAUUAGAUGUUGAGUUGAGUGCUAGUUGUGUUUCUUUUGGCUAUGAGCUCCCCACCUUAAAACCUCUCUCCCUAUGAGUGCUAGAAAGUUCACUUGUGGACAAGUAAAAGAACAAGUUUGGGGGAGUUGAUAUCUUGCAUAUUUCCAUUGUCUUAUCCAUUCAUCCAUGUGCAUUUUGAUCAUAUAGACUAGGAUUUAGCCAUGUUUAGGUUGCAUUUUGCAUACAUGAGUCUUUAUCAAGUGUUGGAGUACCACAUGGAGUUCUUGGAGGCA